CGAGACCUUCGGGUCUAGUGGCGCACGGGUGCGUAACGCGUGGGAAUCUGCCCUUAGGUACGGAAUAACUCAGAGAAAUUUGUGCUAAUACCGUAUGAUGUCGAAAGACCAAAGAUUUAUCGCCUAAGGAUGAGCCCGCGUAAGAUUAGCUUGUUGGUGAGGUAAAAGCUCACCAAGGCGACGAUCUUUAGCUGGUCUGAGAGGAUGAUCAGCCACACUGGGACUGAGACACGGCCCAGACUCCUACGGGAGGCAGCAGUGGGGAAUAUUGGACAAUGGGCGAAAGCCUGAUCCAGCAAUGCCGCGUGAGUGAUGAAGGCCUUAGGGUUGUAAAGCUCUUUUACCAGGGAUGAUAAUGACAGUACCUGGAGAAUAAGCUCCGGCUAACUCCGUGCCAGCAGCCGCGGUAAUACGGAGGGAGCUAGCGUUGUUCGGAAUUACUGGGCGUAAAGCGUACGUAGGCGGUUAUUCAAGUCAGAGGUGAAAGCCUGGAGCUCAACUCCAG
This 505-nucleotide ribosomal RNA is filed under the name uncultured Sphingomonadales bacterium. RNAcentral's name for it is "bacterial SSU rRNA". It matches the Rfam family "Bacterial small subunit ribosomal RNA", at positions 67 to 618 of the family's 1533-position model. Lineage: Bacteria; Pseudomonadati; Pseudomonadota; Alphaproteobacteria; Sphingomonadales. The record is from RNAcentral.